This 107-nucleotide non-coding RNA is filed under the name uncultured Eubacterium sp. Its description in RNAcentral is "FMN riboswitch (RFN element)". It matches the Rfam family "FMN riboswitch aptamer (RFN element)", at positions 8 to 131 of the family's 138-position model. Rfam says of the family: The RFN element is a highly conserved domain that is found frequently in the 5'-untranslated regions of prokaryotic mRNAs that encode for flavin mononucleotide (FMN) biosynthesis and transport proteins. Lineage: Bacteria; Bacillati; Bacillota; Clostridia; Eubacteriales; Eubacteriaceae. The record is from RNAcentral.
UACAGGGCAGGGUGAGAUUCCCGACCGGCGGUAUAGCCCGCGAGACCGGUUGUUCCGGUUUGAACCGAUGAGAUUUCGGUGCCGACAGUAUAGUCUGGAUGAAAGUA